GGGGGGGUGAAUUGGUUUCUUCUUCUUUUUUUUUGAUGCUUUAAACGUUUUCUUAAUUAAGUGCGGUGGAUGCUUUCUUAAGCUAUUUGAGUGAGUUAAACUAACGCAAGAGUAGAAGAUGAUGCAAGAGUAAAUGAAAACACAAGCACAACACAAACACAACAAUAUAUAGUGGUUCGGUGCUCUCCUUAGCACCUACGUC
Molecule: long non-coding RNA, 202 nt
Filed under: Phoenix dactylifera (date palm)
Lineage: Eukaryota; Viridiplantae; Streptophyta; Magnoliopsida; Arecales; Arecaceae
Description: long non-coding RNA (PDAC_LNC008143)
Source: RNAcentral